Molecule: unclassified non-coding RNA, 233 nt
Filed under: fungal sp.
Lineage: Eukaryota; Fungi
Description: partial internal transcribed spacer region
Rfam family: Eukaryotic small subunit ribosomal RNA (bases 1-46)
Source: RNAcentral
AAGUCGUAACAAGGUUUCCGUAGGUGAACCUGCGGAAGGAUCAUUAACACGUAUCCAACGUUAAAAACCCCGUGAACCUUCAUCGCCGCUCCUCAUGGCUAAGUCUUGGAUAAAGCCAAACAGCAAUCCCUGCACUCGUCCGAGAAAAUGCAAGAGGAGGGACCUCUGUUUGACAGAGCACUAUGGGUUUAAAAACGUUUAAACAACUGUUAACAAUGGAUAUCUUGGUUCUC